GACGAACGCUGGCGGCGUGCUUAACACAUGCAAGUCGAACGGAAAGGCCCUUCGGGGUACUCGAGUGGCGAACGGGUGAGUAACACGUGGGUGAUCUGCCUCGUACUCUGGGAUAAGCCUGGGAAACUGGGUCUAAUACUGGAUAGGACCUUCUCUCGCAUGGGGGUUGGUGGAAAGUUUUUCGGUACGAGAUGGGCCCGCGGCCUAUCAGCUUGUUGGUGGGGUAAUGGCCUACCAAGGCGACGACGGGUAGCCGGCCUGAGAGGGCGACCGGCCACACUGGGACUGAGGCACGGCCCAGACUCCUACGGGAGGCAGCAGUGGGGAAUAUUGCACAAUGGGCGCAAGCCUGAUGCAGCGACGCCGCGUGAGGGAUGACGGCCUUCGGGUUGUAAACCUCUUUCACCAGGGGCGAAUUUAGACGGUACCUGGAGAAGAAGCACCGGCCAACUACGUGCCAGCCGCCGCGGUAA
Molecule: ribosomal RNA, 473 nt
Filed under: uncultured bacterium
Lineage: Bacteria
Description: partial 16S ribosomal RNA
Rfam family: Bacterial small subunit ribosomal RNA
Source: RNAcentral